This 88-nucleotide microRNA precursor is filed under the name Canis lupus familiaris (dog). Its description in RNAcentral is "mir-8799 microRNA precursor family". It matches the Rfam family "mir-8799 microRNA precursor family". Lineage: Eukaryota; Metazoa; Chordata; Mammalia; Carnivora; Canidae. The record is from Rfam by way of RNAcentral.
AUGGGAGGCGGGAUCCUGGGAUGUGUCCCGGCGCCCUGUGCUCUGGGGCCUGCGCUGUUGGGUUCGCGCUCCCGCCCCGCAGCCCCCU